CCCCGGGAAACUGGGGCUAAUCCCCGAUAGGUGAAGAACUCUGGAAUGAGUCUCCGCCCAAAAGACGCUUAAAUCAUGCUUUUAGGCGCCGCCCAAGGAUGGGGCCGCGACCGAUCAGGUAGUUGGUGAGGCAACGGCUCACCAAGCCUUUAACCGGUGCGGGCCGUGGGAGGGCGAGCCCGGANAUGGGCACUGAAACAAGGGCCCAGGCCCUACGGGGCGCAGCAGUCGCGAAAACUUUGCAAUACACGAAAGUGUGACAGGGCUAUCCCGAGUGCCAUCCGCUGAGGAAGGCUUUUACCCAGUCUAAAAAGCUGGGAGANUAAGGAGAGGGCAAGCCUGGUGUCAGCCGCCGCGGUAAUACCAGCUCUCCGAGUGGUGUGGAUGUUUAUUGGGCCUAAAGCAUCCGUAGCUGGCCAAGUUAGUCCCCUGUUAAAUCCACCGAAUUAAUCGUUGGGGUGCGG
This 464-nucleotide ribosomal RNA is filed under the name uncultured archaeon. RNAcentral describes it as "bacterial SSU rRNA". It matches the Rfam family "Archaeal small subunit ribosomal RNA", at positions 130 to 577 of the family's 1478-position model. The record is from RNAcentral.